This 160-nucleotide small nucleolar RNA is filed under the name Triticum aestivum (bread wheat). Its description in RNAcentral is "Plant small nucleolar RNA U3". It matches the Rfam family "Plant small nucleolar RNA U3". Rfam says of the family: Small nucleolar RNAs (snoRNAs) are involved in the processing and modification of rRNA in the nucleolus. Lineage: Eukaryota; Viridiplantae; Streptophyta; Magnoliopsida; Poales; Poaceae. RNAcentral also lists the same sequence under 1 other name. The record is from Rfam by way of RNAcentral.
ACGACCUUACUUGAACAGGAUCUGUUCUAUAGUAGUCGUACCGCUGCAUCCUUUACCAAUAAGGAGGCAAGCACUUAACCCUGGUUGAUGACAUGACACCUGCGAGCCAGAGCGUGAUUAACGGCAGUCAUCUCUAGCUGACCAGGUUGUCUGACAGGGC